Molecule: long non-coding RNA, 656 nt
Filed under: Corvus moneduloides (New Caledonian crow)
Lineage: Eukaryota; Metazoa; Chordata; Aves; Passeriformes; Corvidae
Description: lncRNA (ENSCMUG00000002976.2)
Source: RNAcentral
CCUGUGAAACCACGCUGACGUGCUCUGCUUUCUGGGAACCCGGCAAUUUCAGGCAAUUAUUCCCUGGACAUUUUACACAGCUCAGCCUUCAAGAACUGCUGCUGCCACCCUGACUCUUUGAUCUUUUUAACUCCAGUGCUGACACCCUGCAUUGAUGUAGACAUGGCAAGCUGUGCUAGACACAGAUGGCAAACCUGUGUGAUCCAGGGACGUACAGAAAGCUGUCUCCUGCUGUAGCAGCUUGCUUUGGCCUGUUUUUUGAAGAGGGUGUAUGAUCUGCUUCCCCUUUCCCAUGAGGACCUGAACCUGCUGUGAGACCCACACCUUGGCAGAUGCAAGCACAGAUGAAGAAGUGCACAGAAGUGCUGGAGUACAAUCCCUGUCUCAGCAAUUUUACAGACUCACAGUACUCUCAGAUGGGUGGUGAUGAGUAUGCUGGCAGAUGUGACCGUGGAGACCAAUGUUCUGGGCACCCUGGAGUCCCACAGGAGCAGAGGAAAAGGACCAAGCAUGAGAGAACAGGCUGUCUCUUGGGCUUUGGACUGUCUCAUGUCACAGGCUGCCCUAUGCCUGCAAUGAGCUGCGCACACCAGAAGAUGCUUAAAUAUCCACAUAUCUCAUACUGCAGGGAGUUUUCAGCUUGUGGGCGUUUUUAG